AGUGAACGCUGGCGGUAGGCCUAGCACAUGCAAGUCGAACGGCAGCACAGUAAGAACUUGCUCUUACGGGUGGCGAGUGGCGGACGGGUGAGGAAUACAUCGGAAUCUACUUUUUCGUGGGGGAUAACGUAGGGAAACUUACGCUAAUACCGCAUACGGCCUACGGGUGAAAGCAGGGGAUCUUCGGACCUUGCGCGAUUGAAUGAGCCGAUGUCGGAUUAGCUAGUUGGCGGGGUAAAGGCCCACCAAGGCGACGAUCCGUAGCUGGUCUGAGAGGAUGAUCAGCCACACUGGAACUGAGACACGGUCCAGACUCCUACGGGAGGCAGCAGUGGGGAAUAUUGGACAAUGGGCGCAAGCCUGAUCCAGCCAUACCGCGUGGGUGAAGAAGGCCUUCGGGUUGUAAAGCCCUUUUGUUGGGAAAGAAAAGCAGCAGGUUAAUACCCCGCUGUUCUGACGGUACCCAAAGAAUAAGCACCGGCUAACUUCGUG
Molecule: ribosomal RNA, 492 nt
Filed under: uncultured bacterium
Lineage: Bacteria
Description: partial 16S ribosomal RNA
Rfam family: Bacterial small subunit ribosomal RNA
Source: RNAcentral